UCCAUACAAAAAAAUACACAAAAAUUGACACUUUGACCAAUUGUUGACUUUGGUCAACAGUUGACUUUUUGGUCAACUUUGACCAAAGUCAACCCAAAAUCCACAAACCCAAAAUUUCACCCUAACCAAUAAUUCAUUUUUUAUUUACAAAGAAAAUACAAAAAAAAUGCAUUUUUGACCAUUUGUUGACUUUGGUCAACGGUUGACUUUUUGGUCAACUUUGACCAAAGUCAACCCUCACUUGCUCUUGACUAUCCAAACUUGGCCUGGCCCUUUGUUUCAUUGUGUCAUCCAAUCUCAAUGUUUGUUGAUGAUUUUUCUUGUUUACUUCAUUUGCAAGUAAGUCCCAUUUGAACAAACCAAUUCAAAACUCUAAAACCAUGAACUUGACAAGUCAGGAAUGUAAGCUAUGCUGCAGAAUGAAUGAUGACAAGUUCCACCGCUCAAUGCAUUGCUUCAGCUAGUCCAAGUCAAAACGUGCAAAUGGCAAAGAAAUUCAAGGCAAAAUUUGUCCAAUUGAAUGCAUUGUUCAAACUGUCUAUCACUCCCAACAUUGAACAAGAUUGAUGAUCACGUUGCAUGUGCUGUUGCUGGGAUUAUGUCUGAUGCAAACAUCCUAAUCAAUACUGCUAGGAUCCAAGCACAGUGUUACUAAUUUGCUUACCAAGAGCCAAUGCCUGUUGAGCAGUUGGUUCAAUCUCUUUGUGAUUCGCCGAACCUGCGGGAACAAAACAAGUUUGAGAAAAUGCAUUAAUUUGCCGGUUUACCGAUGGAAUUCGCCCAUGAUGGAAUAGGCAUCAAACCAGAACAGUGAUCAGAACCGAAACUGCUUUCGGAAGCUUACCAUUUGUUAUGACGUGAGCUGCCUCAAACCAGUACGCAAUUGAGCGUUG
Molecule: long non-coding RNA, 893 nt
Filed under: Lathyrus oleraceus (garden pea)
Lineage: Eukaryota; Viridiplantae; Streptophyta; Magnoliopsida; Fabales; Fabaceae
Description: Pisum sativum (pea) long non-coding RNA (PSAT_LNC030539)
Source: RNAcentral